This 72-nucleotide transfer RNA is filed under the name Thermoplasmata archaeon. Its description in RNAcentral is "tRNA-Thr". It matches the Rfam family "tRNA". Rfam says of the family: Transfer RNA (tRNA) molecules are approximately 80 nucleotides in length. Their secondary structure includes four short double-helical elements and three loops (D, anti-codon, and T loops). Further hydrogen bonds mediate the characteristic L-shaped molecular structure. tRNAs have two regions of fundamental functional importance: the anti-codon, which is responsible for specific mRNA codon recognition, and the 3' end, to which the tRNAs corresponding amino acid is attached (by aminoacyl-tRNA synthetases). tRNAs cope with the degeneracy of the genetic code in two manners: having more than one tRNA (with a specific anti-codon) for a particular amino acid; and 'wobble' base-pairing, i.e. permitting non-standard base-pairing at the 3rd anti-codon position. Lineage: Archaea; Methanobacteriati; Thermoplasmatota; Thermoplasmata. The record is from RNAcentral.
GCCGCCGUGGCUCAAUGGUAGAGCGGCUGAUUUGUAAUCAGCAGGUUGGGGGUUCAAUUCCCUUCGGCGGCU